Molecule: ribosomal RNA, 402 nt
Filed under: uncultured bacterium
Lineage: Bacteria
Description: bacterial SSU rRNA
Rfam family: Bacterial small subunit ribosomal RNA
Source: RNAcentral
UGGGGAAUCUUGCACAAUGGGGGCAACCCUGAUGCAGCGACGCCGCGUGAGCGAUGAAGCCCUUCGGGGCGUAAAGCUCUUUCGACCGGAACGAUAAUGACGGUACCGGGAGAAGAAGCUGCGGCUAACUACGUGCCAGCAGCCGCGGUAAUACGUAGGCAGCAAGCGUUGUUCGGAGUUACUGGGCGUAAAGAGUGCGUAGGCGGUUUUCUAAGUUCGGUGUGAAAUCUCCCGGCUUAACUGGGAGGGUGCGCCGAAGACUGGGAAGCUGGAGUGUGGGAAAGGCAGGCGGAAUUCCUGGUGUAGCGGUGAAGUGCGUAGAUAUCAGGAGGAACACCGGCGGUGUAGACGGCUUGCUAGACCAUAACUGACGCUGAGGCACGAAAGCGUGGGUAGCAAACA